RNAcentral lists this ribosomal RNA (1318 nucleotides) under uncultured Synechococcus sp. RNAcentral's name for it is "bacterial SSU rRNA". It matches the Rfam family "Bacterial small subunit ribosomal RNA", at positions 169 to 1515 of the family's 1533-position model. The record is from RNAcentral. Lineage: Bacteria; Bacillati; Cyanobacteriota; Cyanophyceae; Synechococcales; Synechococcaceae.
CCCCAUAUGCCGAGAGGUGAAAUGAAUUUCGCCUGAGGAUGAGCUCGCGUCUGAUUAGCUAGUUGGUGAGGUAAUGGCUCACCAAGGCUUCGAUCAGUAGCUGGUCUGAGAGGAUGAUCAGCCACACUGGGACUGAGACACGGCCCAGACUCCUACGGGAGGCAGCAGUGGGGAAUUUUCCGCAAUGGGCGAAAGCCUGACGGAGCAACGCCGCGUGAGGGAUGAAGGCCUCUGGGCUGUAAACCUCUUUUAUCAAGGAAGAAGAUCUGACGGUACUUGAUGAAUAAGCCACGGCUAAUUCCGUGCCAGCAGCCGCGGUAAUACGGGAGUGGCAAGCGUUAUCCGGAAUUAUUGGGCGUAAAGCGUCCGCAGGCGGUUUUGAAAGUCUGUUGUUAAAGCGUGGAGCUUAACUCCAUUUCAGCAAUGGAAACUACAAGACUAGAGUGUGGUAGGGGCAGAGGGAAUUCCCGGUGUAGCGGUGAAAUGCGUAGAUAUCGGGAAGAACACCAGUGGCGAAGGCGCUCUGCUGGGCCAUAACUGACGCUCAUGGACGAAAGCCAGGGGAGCGAAAGGGAUUAGAUACCCCUGUAGUCCUGGCCGUAAACGAUGAACACUAGGUGUCGGGGGGAAUCGACCCCCCUCGGUGUCGUAGCCAACGCGUUAAGUGUUCCGCCCUGGGGAGUACGCACGCAAGUGUGAAACUCAAAGGAAUUGACGGGGGCCCGCACAAGCGGUGGAGUAUGUGGUUUAAUUCGAUGCAACGCGAAGAACCUUACCAGGGUUUGACAUCCUGCGAAUCCCUUGGAAACUUGGGAGUGCCUUCGGGAGCGCAGUGACAGGUGGUGCAUGGCUGUCGUCAGCUCGUGUCGUGAGAUGUUGGGUUAAGUCCCGCAACGAGCGCAACCCACGUCUUUAGUUGCCAGCAUUUAGUUGGGCACUCUAGAGAGACUGCCGGUGAUAAACCGGAGGAAGGUGUGGAUGACGUCAAGUCAUCAUGCCCCUUACAUCCUGGGCUACACACGUACUACAAUGCUACGGACAAAGGGCAGCAAACUCGCGAGAGCUAGCAAAUCCCAUAAACCGUGGCUCAGUUCAGAUCGUAGGCUGCAACUCGCCUACGUGAAGGAGGAAUCGCUAGUAAUCGCAGGUCAGCAUACUGCGGUGAAUACGUUCCCGGGCCUUGUACACACCGCCCGUCACACCAUGGAAGUUAGCCACGCCCGAAGUCGUUACUCCAACCCCUUGUGGGAGGAGGACGCCGAAGGUGGGGCUGAUGACUGGGGUGAAGUCGUAACAAGGUAGCCGUACCGGAAGGUGC